This 217-nucleotide ribosomal RNA is filed under the name uncultured bacterium. RNAcentral's name for it is "partial 16S ribosomal RNA". It matches the Rfam family "Bacterial small subunit ribosomal RNA", at positions 524 to 738 of the family's 1533-position model. The record is from RNAcentral.
UACGUAGGGUGCAAGCGUUAAUCGGAAUUACUGGGCGUAAAGCGUGCGCAGGCGGUUAUGUAAGACAGUUGUGAAAUCCCCCGGGCUCAACCUGGGAACUGCAUCUGUGACUGCAUAGCUAGAGUACGGUAGAGGGGGGAUGGAAUUCCGCGUGUAGCAGUGAAAUGCGUAGAUAUGCGGAGGAACACCGAUGGCGAAGGCAGCUCCCUGGACCUGU